UCUUUACACUAGGGGUGCGUAAGCUGAGAGAGGCGUUAUGUCUCGACCCUUUGAACCUGAUCUAGCUUGAACUAGCGUAGGGAAGUGGUUGUGUGCGACA
RNAcentral lists this non-coding RNA (100 nucleotides) under Pontibacillus marinus. RNAcentral describes it as "TPP sequence". It matches the Rfam family "TPP riboswitch aptamer (THI element)". From Rfam's summary of the family: Vitamin B(1) in its active form thiamin pyrophosphate (TPP) is an essential coenzyme that is synthesised by coupling of pyrimidine and thiazole moieties in bacteria. The previously detected thiamin-regulatory element, thi box was extended, resulting in a new, highly conserved RNA secondary structure, the THI element, which is widely distributed in eubacteria and also occurs in some archaea. RNAcentral also lists the same sequence under 1 other name. Lineage: Bacteria; Bacillati; Bacillota; Bacilli; Caryophanales; Bacillaceae. The record is from RNAcentral.